Molecule: ribosomal RNA, 476 nt
Filed under: uncultured bacterium
Lineage: Bacteria
Description: bacterial SSU rRNA
Rfam family: Bacterial small subunit ribosomal RNA
Source: RNAcentral
AUGAACGCUAGCGGCAGGCUUAACACAUGCAAGUCGAGGGGUAUAGGUUUCGGACCUAGAGACCGGCGCACGGGUGCGUAACGCGUAUGCAAUCUACCUUUCACAGAGGGAUAGCCCAGAGAAAUUUGGAUUAAUACCUCAUAGUAUUAUAGAAUGGCAUCAUUUUAUAAUUAAAGUCACAACGGUGAAAGAUGAGCAUGCGUCCCAUUAGCUAGUUGGUAUGGUAACGGCAUACCAAGGCAACGAUGGGUAGGGGUCCUGAGAGGGAGAUCCCCCACACUGGUACUGAGACACGGACCAGACUCCUACGGGAGGCAGCAGUGAGGAAUAUUGGUCAAUGGGCGCAAGCCUGAACCAGCCAUGCCGCGUGCAGGAUGACGGUCCUAUGGAUUGUAAACUGCUUUUGCACAGGAAGAAACAACGCUACGUGUAGCGUCUUGACGGUACUGUGAGAAUAAGGAUCGGCUAACUCCGUG